RNAcentral lists this unclassified non-coding RNA (345 nucleotides) under soil metagenome. Its description in RNAcentral is "partial contains 5.8S ribosomal RNA, internal transcribed spacer 2, and large subunit ribosomal RNA". The stretch from base 1 to 120 matches the Rfam family "5.8S ribosomal RNA", at positions 35 to 154 of the family's 154-position model. The record is from RNAcentral.
GAUGAAGAACGUAGCGAAAUGCGAUACGUAAUGUGAAUUGCAGAAUUCAGUGAAUCAUCGAGUCUUUGAACGCACAUUGCGCCCCCUGGUAUUCCGGGGGGCAUGCCUGUCCGAGCGUCAUUGCUGCCCUCAAGCACGGCUUGUGUGUUGGGCCUCCGUCCUCCUCCCGGGGGACGGGCCCGAAAGGCAGCGGCGGCACCGCGUCCGGUCCUCGAGCGUAUGGGGCUUCGUCACCCGCUCUUGUAGGCCCGGCCGGCGCUUGCCGACACAUCAAUCUUUUUUCCAGGUUGACCUCGGAUCAGGUAGGAAUGCCCGCUGAACUUAAGCAUAUCAAUAAGCGGAGGA